Long non-coding RNA from Mytilus trossulus (common blue mussel), 1145 nucleotides. RefSeq lists it as uncharacterized. The record is from RefSeq and is a predicted model, not a curated record. The transcript is spliced from 3 exons. Lineage: Eukaryota; Metazoa; Mollusca; Bivalvia; Mytilida; Mytilidae.
GUUCUAUAUGUAUUAUUAUGCCUUUUUGUCACUUUUUUGUGACAUUUUUCUAUAAACAAUAUUUUUAAUUCUAAUAUUUUCCAUCAAAUGAAUUUAGCCUCACCUGCAGUUUAAUUUCUAGUAUCAUUAUUUUAAAAUUAUUUAUACACAAAUUAUCUUUCUCAUCUCAGUUAGUAAUAUGAGCUGGUGAUAGAAAUGUAAUGUGCACAUCUGGUUUUCAUUAUCUGUGGAGCUGUAGAGACAGGAAGUACCAUAAAUUAAUGUACACAGAGUUUGAGGCCAAAUUAAGGGCAGAGCAUUUCUUGUUUGUAUAUAUUUCCAUUAUAACUUAUAAAACCAAAGAUAAAAAAGAUGUAUUUAUAAUUAUUUAUAUAUUAUAAUAAAUAACAAAUAUUCAAGAUUUAGGCAAUGGAUAUUUAUAAUUAUGGGCAAAUUUCAAAGGGAUCACAUUGAAACAAUACCCUAAGCAACCUUGAUCAACAUAUAUUCAAAAUUUGAACUGGACAUGACCAUGCAUACAACAAACAAAGAUGUCUUCUAUCAGGAACAAAGUAAUAUGAAUUUUACAAUGGAUUUAGACAUGUUAGAUCCAAAAGAUCCAAUUGAUUCUAUUGACACUGGGUAAUGCAGAUGCUAGCCUUCAGUUGACAUGACUCUUGGAUUCAGGAAGAUUGGUGUUUACACACAAUUUGGACAACAUCUUUUGUAUUUUUGAAAUCAGAAAAUUCAACUUAAAGGACAGUGAGACUUAUAGAGAAACAGAACUGAAAGCUACACAGAUGUAACACGACAACCUAUAGAGGACAGAGACCAUUUCCAACCUACAGAGGACAGAGACAUUUUUUUUUAUUAUUAAAUCAUAAAUUAUUAAAUGUUUAGUUUUUAAUUCCAAAUUUUACACCUGAAUUGUUGAAAGAUUUGCUGCAAUGUUGCCGCAAUAUUGCAAGAAAUUAAUUUUCCUGCAAUAUUGCUGCAACAUUGCAGCUAAUGAACUUGCCGCAAUAUUGCUGCAACAAUCACCGCAACUGUUUGCAAGAAAACUAAUUUGCAUACGAAAAAUGAAUAUUUGCAGCAAUAUUGCCGCAACUAUUUGCAGCAACAUUGCCGCAAAUAUUUGCAAGAAGCCUUAUUUUUCUGUAAGGGAG